ACGAGUGGCGGACGGGUGAGUAAUGCGUAGGAAUCUGCCCAGUAGUGGGGGAUAACCCGGGGAAACCCGGGCUAAUACCGCAUACGCCCUACGGGGGAAAGGCCGGGAUCUUCGGACCGGUCACUAUUGGAGGAGCCUGCGUAGGAUUAGCUAGUUGGUGAGGUAAAGGCUCACCAAGGCGACGAUCCUUAGCUGGUCUGAGAGGACGAUCAGCCACACUGGAACUGAGACACGGUCCAGACUCC
RNAcentral lists this ribosomal RNA (245 nucleotides) under uncultured bacterium. RNAcentral's name for it is "partial 16S ribosomal RNA". It matches the Rfam family "Bacterial small subunit ribosomal RNA", at positions 91 to 339 of the family's 1533-position model. The record is from RNAcentral.